Molecule: ribosomal RNA, 1504 nt
Filed under: uncultured bacterium
Lineage: Bacteria
Description: bacterial SSU rRNA
Rfam family: Bacterial small subunit ribosomal RNA
Source: RNAcentral
AGAGUUUGAUCCUGGCUCAGAUUGAACGCUGGCGGCAGGCCUAACACAUGCAAGUCGAACGGUAACAGGAAACAGCUUGCUGUUUCGCUGACGAGUGGCGGACGGGUGAGUAAUGUCUGGGAAACUGCCUGAUGGAGGGGGAUAACUACUGGAAACGGUAGCUAAUACCGCAUAACGUCGCAAGACCAAAGAGGGGGACCUUCGGGCCUCUUGCCAUCAGAUGUGCCCAGAUGGGAUUAGCUAGUAGGUGGGGUAACGGCUCACCUAGGCGACGAUCCCUAGCUGGUCUGAGAGGACGACCAGCCACACUGGAACUGAGACACGGUCCAGACUCCUACGGGAGGCAGCAGUGGGGAAUAUUGCACAAUGGGCGCAAGCCUGAUGCAGCCAUGCCGCGUGUAUGAAGAAGGCCUUCGGGUUGUAAAGUACUUUCAGCGGGGAGGAAGGGAGUAAAGUUAAUACCUUUGCUCAUUGACGUUACCCGCAGAAGAAGCACCGGCUAACUCCGUGCCAGCAGCCGCGGUAAUACGGAGGGUGCAAGCGUUAAUCGGAAUUACUGGGCGUAAAGCGCACGCAGGCGGUUUGUUAAGUCAGAUGUGAAAUCCCCGGGCUCAACCUGGGAACUGCAUCUGAUACUGGCAAGCUUGAGUCUCGUAGAGGGGGGUAGAAUUCCAGGUGUAGCGGUGAAAUGCGUAGAGAUCUGGAGAAUACCGGUGGCGAAGGCGGCCCCUGGACGAAGACUGACGCUCAGGUGCGAAAGCGUGGGGGAGCAACAGGAUUAGAUACCCUGGUAGUCCACGCCGUAAACGAUGUCGACUUGGAGGUUGUGCCCUUGAGGCGUGGCUUCCGGAGCUAACGCGUUAAGUCGACCGCCUGGGGAGUACGGCCGCAAGGUUAAAACUCAAAUGAAUUGACGGGGGCCCGCACAAGCGGUGGAGCAUGUGGUUUAAUUCGAUGCAACGCGAAGAACCUUACCUGGUCUUGACAUCCACGGAAGUUUUCAGAGAUGAGAAUGUGCCUUCGGGAACCGUGAGACAGGUGCUGCAUGGCUGUCGUCAGCUCGUGUUGUGAAAUGUUGGGUUAAGUCCCGCAACGAGCGCAACCCUUAUCCUUUGUUGCCAGCGGUCCGGCCGGGAACUCAAAGGAGACUGCCAGUGAUAAACUGGAGGAAGGUGGGGAUGACGUCAAGUCAUCAUGGCCCUUACGACCAGGGCUACACACGUGCUACAAUGGCGCAUACAAAGAGAAGCGACCUCGCGAGAGCAAGCGGACCUCAUAAAGUGCGUCGUAGUCCGGAUUGGAGUCUGCAACUCGACUCCAUGAAGUCGGAAUCGCUAGUAAUCGUGGAUCAGAAUGCCACGGUGAAUACGUUCCCGGGCCUUGUACACACCGCCCGUCACACCAUGGGAGUGGGUUGCAAAAGAAGUAGGUAGCUUAACCUUCGGGAGGGCGCUUACCACUUUGUGAUUCAUGACUGGGGUGAAGUCGUAACAAGGUAGCCGUA